CCUACGGGAGGCAGCAGUGAGGAAUAUUUGUCAAUGGGCGCGAGCCUGAACCAGCCAAGUAGCGUGAAGGAUGACUGCCCUACGGGUUGUAAACUUCUUUUAUCAAGGAAUAACGUGAGGCCCGUGUGCCUUUUUGUAUGUACUUUAUGAAUAAGUCUCGGCUAACUCCGUGCCAGCAGCCGCGGUAAUACGGAGGAUCCGAGCGUUAUUCGGAUUUAUUGGGUUUAAAGGGAGCGUAGAUGGGUUGUUAAGUCAGUUGUGAAAGUUUGCGGCUCAACCGUAAAAUUGCAAUUGAUACUGGCAGCCUUGAGUACAGUUGAGGUAGGCGGAAUUCGUGGUGUAGCGGUGAAAUGAUUAGAUAUAACGAAGAACACCGAUGGCGAAGGCAGCCUACUAAACUGCCACUGACAUUGAUGCGCGAAAGUGUGGGUAUCAAACAGGAUUAGAUACCCCAGUAGUC
This 460-nucleotide ribosomal RNA is filed under the name uncultured bacterium. RNAcentral's name for it is "partial 16S ribosomal RNA". It matches the Rfam family "Bacterial small subunit ribosomal RNA", at positions 338 to 795 of the family's 1533-position model. The record is from RNAcentral.